RNAcentral lists this long non-coding RNA (13424 nucleotides) under Medicago truncatula (barrel medic). RNAcentral describes it as "long non-coding RNA (MTRU_LNC008726)". The record is from RNAcentral. Lineage: Eukaryota; Viridiplantae; Streptophyta; Magnoliopsida; Fabales; Fabaceae.
UGUAGACUUUUAGGGCUAAAGAGGUGAAGAGCACAAAGCUUUUUCAUAUCUCUCCAAUAAGAGCUAUAAGGUGCAAAACCCAAAUCUAAACCAUUGUAAGACAAUUUUCUUAGUCCAAGAAAAGAUGGUCUACUUGCAAAUUUAAGGUCGUGAGUUUUCAACACUUGUUCUGCCAUUUUUGCUGAGGAAACAACUAAGGUUGGUAUGUAUCCAAGUUUCAAAGACAUGAUAGGUCCAUAGUGUUUGGAGAGUUGCCAUAAGGAGUGAUGUGGGGAUGAAGGGUCAAGCUGGUGUAAAUUUCCAAUUAGAGGAAGUGGUUUUGGACCUGGUGGAGUUGAUGAUGCUCUUCUAGUAUUCUUUAUUUUGUGGAUGUGUAUAAUGAAUAGAAUUAAGAUUGGCAAGAGAGAAAGAAGCACAAGAUCAAUCUCCAUGACUCUCAAAAUGAUUCUACAAAGACUCUCAAAAAUAUAAAGAAAACAAGUGUAGGCAUGGGGGCCCAUUGUGAGCAUAAUGAGAAUGAAAGAUUCCAUUGUCAUAAAUUUUUACACGUAACGUAACACACACCUUUAAUAGAAAAAUAGACACCUCAAUUUCGCUCGUGUUCGGGUCGUACUCUCGAUCGCUUGUUUUACCGAGUAACAUCUGAUUGAGACGUAAUUUCGGAUCAACUUUUUUCAGUCAAGUGAACAAUUUUAAGAUGUCUAUUGAACAACCAUCACUUAACGAUCGAUUGUCUCUUACGUUUCAUUCACCCAUCUUUAUUAUUUCUCUUCUCUUUCUAGCAAACAUCAAUGAAUCAAUGAUAUAUCUUACCUUCAGUGUUGUUCAAAUUUCACCAUGCAAUAAUGCUGCUAUUUGACAACAUUGUUUACGUAUAAAUCUCUGUGGUUUGACCAUCUUUCGGUUUGUCAAUCUCCCUUAAUGUUCUUACGACAAUUUUUUGUUGCCUCCUAGCCUUUAUCACCAGUUUUCAUCACUAGGUUUGGUCAUAUUAUCAUUGAUAUUUUAAACUUGUUUUUAAUGUAUGGUCCACGGUGGACCAUUUAUGAACACAUUGUCAUAUUAGAAUUUGCCAUCCCCCCAUACUGUGGCUUAAACAACAAACACGUUUUUAUCACCCAUGCUUCUCAAAUCCUACUGGAAACUUCCGGUAGCGCUUUUUACAUGUUUUGAGUGAUGCAGGGGGGACAUGAUUUCCAUGUUUAUAUUUAGUUUGCCUAAAAUAGUUUAAAUAUACCCGAGAGCGUUUAAAUGAGAUGGAACAAGUCUUUCUAGCUUAACCAAGAUUAUGGGUUCAAAUCCAGCCUUGGACAUGCAACAGUCUGAAAACUCGUAGGAGAGCUUGCCACCUAUUUACCCGAUUUAAAAAAAAAAAAAGGUUUAAAUAUCUAUUUGCCCCCUUACCCUUACUUUAUUUUAAAAGUUUAAUUUGGUUUUCAACUUUAAAACGGGUAAAUCGGUCUCUUAAUUUAUUUUAAAAAGUUAAGUUUUCUUUAACUUAAAAUUGAUCAAUUUGAUAAUUUCAAAACGAGUCAAUUCAGUUUCGGGUAAACAACCAUUUUGGUCUUUCACCUUGCACCUCACUGUUAAUAGUCGACUCAGAUACAAUGUAAAAUAGUCCCUCAAUGUUUAUAUCCAUUAGCCAGUUUAAUCAUUGACGUUAAAAUUGGCCGUUAAAUGCUGACAAGGAUGUGUAACAUGGAUCUGGAGACCAAAAUGAAAAUAAACUGUUUGAAAUUAACACAAAUAAAUCUCUAAAUUCUGAAUUCCCACCAUCUUUUGUUACUUAAUGUUGUCCAUUAUUUUUACUCAAACUUGGAGCUAAUUAAGAGACAUGGUCUGGUCAUGAUUUUGAUUUUCUGAGAUUUUGAAAUUGUGCAGAGAAUGAGAAAUGAAACAGAACAGACUCAAAGUGUGGAAAUGUGUUUUUUUUAGGUAGUAGAGUUGUAGUUGGUUAUGUUCUAUGUCGUGUUUUCUUUGAUCUUGUUGUUUCAGAUUUUUUUCUAAGAAAAACUAUUUUAAAAAAAAUAUCAUUUUUGUCAUUUUUAAGUGUUUGUUUAAGAUUUUUGAAAAAAUUAUUUUAGCUCUAAAUUGAAAAGUUAUUAGGAUUAACUUUUCUCAAAAUCUAUUUUUUUCCAAAAACAAGAAGGCAGGACAUUUACAAGUUAAAACUCAUUUUUUUUAAAGUGAUUUUUUUUUUGGCAAGUUUUAAAAGUGAUUUUUAUGGAUAGUAAACAAACAAAAAUAUCUUCAGAUUUUUAUAAAACCUAUAAAAAAAUCUCUAAAUCCUUUUAAUAUAAAAUGUAUUUUUUUUAAGCCGAAACAAACCUUUUUUUUUUAUAUAUAUACAUAUACAGUGAGUUCUAGUCAAUAAACUACUUGACAAAAAAUAAAGAUGGGAACCGUGAAAUAUUCUUUUGCUUUCUUCCUUUUCUGUAAUUGGAUCUCUUUGCUUUGUUAUUCUCUUUGGGUUUCACAUGCUCCUUUUGUAACCUAUCUUUCCAUUCUGCUUCUUCAUUUAGGGAUUAUGUGUGUUAAUUUGGUAUUGGUUUGGAAUUUGGGAGUAUGCUCCUCCUUCGAUGAUCUCUGGUGUCAAUUUACGUGGACUAAUUUAUCUUUUUCAAAAAAAAUAAAAAAUAGUUCACUUUUAUUUUGGUCCUUAGAUCCAUGUCACAUAUCCUUGACUGUCAAAUUUAAACGUCAAGGAUUAAAUUGGUUAACAGAAGUAUACAUCCAAAAACUAUUUUACAUUUUAUCCUGAGUCAAUGACCAUAAUGACAAUGAGAUAUUAAAUCAGAGAUCAAAAUGGUUGUUUCCUCCAUUUAUUUUCUUAACUCAACUUGGUUUCUUAAUAAAUGGAUAUCAUAAUAUAUUUUCGAGUAAACCAUCAAACUAUUCAUUGGCUUAAUAGAAAACUAUCGAACAUAUCCAUGAAAUUAUGAAUAUCUUAAAAACGUCCCCAACUCUAUUAAAUAGUCAAAUUGAUUUCUAUAUAUUAUAAAUUAUCAAUUAGGUCCUUAUAUUUUAAACCCUUAUUAUCAAUUUGGUCCAAGUAUUUAACCACUUGCUCUUAAUUUAGUUCCCUCUAACUCAAAAAUGAGUAAAAUUUAAUAGAGUCAAAUACUUUUAAAUUAUUUACAAUUUUAAGGACCUAUUUGAUAGCAUCCUAUAUUGGGUCAAAGUUUGACCCAAUUUGAUCAUAAUGUACAAAGUGGAUUUUGGUUGUGCAUAAUAGAGAUGAAAAAGAUUUCAAUGACACAAAUUUCUCCACUUAAAGCAAAUCUUUAUUUCAUAACAGAAAUAAUUGUCAAUACUCAAUACUAGUACAAUAAACUAUGGUUUUCUUUUCUUAGGAACAAGGUAAAGAUCAAUUUUCUUAUGCAUAGUUAUUCCUGGUUUAACUUGUGUAUCCAACACUUGUUCCUUGUCAAAACCAUGAGGCAGCUUCCAGUCAAAAGAGUGAAGAAGAUUAGCAAGUGUAAGCUCAACAGUGACCACUCCCAUGUUCAUUGCAGGACACAUUCUUCUUCCACUUCCAAAUGGAAUCAACUCAAAAUUCUUCCCUUUAAAAUCCACUGAACUUAUAAUGAACCUUUCAGGAUAAAACUCUUCAGGGUCAUUCCAAUUCUCAGGAUCCCUUGCUAUGGCCCAUGCAUUAACAUAGACUAGAGUUUUUGGUUUAAUCUCAUAACCAUCUAUGUUACAACUUUCUAUUGUUUCUCUUGGCAAUAGUAAUGGUGAUGGAGGGAAUAAUCUUAAUGUCUCUUUCACUACUGAUUUAAGAUAAGGAAGCUUUUCAAUAUCAUCUUCAUUUAUAAAAUCUUUGUCUUCAUAUAAGUUUCUGAUUUCCAUUUGAACCUUGUUCAUCACUCUUGGAUUGUUCAUCAAUGCUGUCAUAGCCCAAACCACUGCUGCUGAACUUGUGUCUGUUCCUGCAAUAAAGAUGUUCUGCAUACAUAAUAUGCAUGUGUUUAAUUAAAUGCAUAAACUUUUAUUUAUGUCAUCUUGUUUUUUGGUACGUUAUGCAUUAUAUCAUCUCAUUUAACAAAAUAAAAGAUGAAUUGAAAUUGAGUAUAUGUGAUUCAUUAUAUCAUCAUCUUUCCUACCCAUUUUUUCCACAUACAAAACAAUAGAAACUCACACACAUACAAAUGCGAGGUCCUAAAUUUCAAUAAGAGUGAAAGUGUCCAUACUUACUACAUCGACAUUGUCAACUGAACCAACGGUCACAAUGACAUGACUUAUCUCUUCUAAGAACUCAAAUUAUUAUUUCUCAAAUCUCUUAAAUUAAUGGCCCUACAUAGGGGUUUAUGAAUAGACUAGACCGAGUUAGAAUUUACUAUGUCUAAACUUGACUUAGUCAAAAAGGUUCAAGAUUUAGACCUAACCUACAACGUGCAAUAGGCUUAAUUAGUAUAUGAUCUUUUUAAAAGCUUGAUAUGAUAUCAUAGCCUACUUAAAAACUAUUUAAUAUGAAUGUAUUUAAGUAAGUAAUAUGAUCUAUUUUUAUAUAGACUAAGAAGCUAAUAUAACACCCCCUCUUUUAAAAAAAAAAAAAAAAACUAAUAUACCACGUCUCUAAGAAAAAAGAGAACAAACUAAUAUACCACUAAUAUUGAGCUCCAUUGUGAUAUUUAGCAUGGCAUUUGAGGGAUUUAACUAUAUAUGAUAUCAUAUUUCAAUUCUACUUUACAAUAAUAUAAUUUCCUUUUUAAAAACUAAUGUAGACUUUUUUGUAGACUUAUAAGCUCAUAUUAUUGAAAAUAUUAACAAAUUAAAAUUUAAACCAAAUUACAUAAUCUAUCAUAAUAUUAGUAUUUCAUUCAUUUUUUUUAACUAGAUUAGUCUAAUACGCCUAAAAUGUCUUUUUAUGAUCCAAUAGACUAGAUCAAGUUAGAAUUUACGAUGUUUAAACUUGACUUAGUCAAAAAGGUUCAAGAUUUAGACCUAGCCUACAACGUGCAAUAGACUUAAUUAAUAUACGAUCUUUUAAAAUGUUUGAUAUGAUAUGAUAGUCUACUUAAAAGCUAUUUAAUAAGAACGUAUUUAAAUAAGUAAUAUGAUAUAUUUUUAUAUAGACUAAGAAGCUAAUAUAACACUCCUUCUUUAAAAAAAAAAAAACCAAUAUACCAUUUCUCUAAAAAAAAAUAGAAAAAGAAGAAGCUAAUAUACCACUAAUAUUAAGCUUCAUUUUGAUAUUUAGCAUGACAUUUUAGAGAUCUGACUAUAUAUGAUAUGAUAUCAUAUUUCAAUUCUACUUUACAAUAAUACAAUUAAAUAUGUGAAAAACUAAUGUAGACUUAUAAGCUCAUAUUAGUGAAAAUGUUAACAAAAUUAAAAUUUAAACCAAAUUACAUAAUCUAUUAUAAUAUUAGUAAUAAAGAAUAUCAUUCAUUUUCUUAACUAGGUUAGUAUGGAGUUCAUGUAUGCUCAAACAUACAUGAUCUCGUUAGUUUGAUAUGCCUAAAAUGUUUUUUUUUUAUGAUCCUUAGUCUACCUUUUUAGCUAAUCAAAUUUCUAGAAAAUCUUAGUCUUCUCUAAUUUUUUCUUUUGCCUAAUGCAAGAUAGACCCUAGACUUCUGUCGGCCGAUCUAACUUAUUCUCAUCUUUAACUUUACAAGAGCGCAAAAUGAUAUCAAUCGGACUUAGGUCUAAUGGUUAUGGCAAACUAAAGUUCGAAUUUUAGAACGAUGUCCAUAUUUAAUGCUAACGAACAAGAUUAACUUGGGUGGAGCAAACUUGUGGGAAACAAAAAUAAACACAGAAUCAAAGGUGAAGAUUUCAAUAAAAUAAGGACGAGUCCAUACCAUAAGCACAGCUUUGAUGUGGUCGAGAGUGAGAUCAAAAGAGAGUGAAUGAUCAUUCAUCAUUUGUAAUAAGAUAUCAAUAAUAUCAUCUACUUCUUGUUCCUUAGUUUUAGGCCUUGCUGAAUAAUCCAUGUGGUCAUCAAUAACUCUUUGGUAUAUCAAAUCCAACUCCUUGAACGUUUUAUCAAGCCUCCCAAGUGUUCCUUUGACUCUAUCAAUCCAACCAAACAAUGGAAAAUUAUCUGAAAAGUAAAAUUCAGCCAACAAAGCUUGAGCUUCAUUAAGCAAAACUUGCAAUCUACUUCUCCUUUGUCCACUUCCCAAUUCAACUCCUUCUUCAUAAUCACAAACAUAUGUUUUCCCAAAAGCUAUCUUACAUAUAAUUGUAUUUGUGAGAGACAUCAAUAUUUCACUCAAGUUCGCACCUUUUUCAUCACCACCAUAUUGCGACAACUUUUGAAUCAAUUGGGCCACUUCAUUUUCUCUAACGGGCCUAAAAGAAUGGGCACGUUGAGAGCUAAAGAGGUGAUGAACACAAAGUUUUCUCAUCUCUCUCCAAUAAGGACUAUAAGGUGCACAAGCCAGAUCUAAACCAUUGUAAGACAAUUUUCUAAAUCCAAGAAAAGAUGGUCUACUUGCAAAUUUAAGGUCGUGAGUUUUCAACACUUGUUCUGCCAUUUUUGCUGAGGAAACAACUAAGGUUGGUAUGUAACCAAGUUUCAAAGACAUGAUAGGUCCAUAGUGUUUGGAAAGUUGCCAUAGGGAGUGAUGUGGGGAUGAAGGGUCAAGUUGGUGUAGAUUUCCAAUUAGAGGAAAUGGUUUUGGACCUGGUGGAGUUGAUGAUGCUCUUCUAGUACUCUUUGUUUUGUGUAUGUGGAUAAUUAAUAUAAUAAGGAUUGGUAAUAGAUAAACAAGGAAUAGAACUUCCAUGAUGAAACCUUACAAAUUGGAUAUAUAUUUGUAUCUUCAAAAUUAAUAAUAUGUUAGUCAUAGUAAGCACAACGUAUUUAGAGGCUUAAAACGAACAUGAAAAUGAGGUAUUUUAUAUGGAAAAAAAUACAUUAAAUGUCAUCAAUUAAAUUUGAAAUUGCAACUCCAAGCUACAUCAAUCAACAGCCGCACCUAAUAAGCUAAGCUACGUGGAUAUCAAGUAAAGUAUCAAUUUAAUAGUGCUUUUCUGUUUUGAGGCUAAAGACCUUCAGAAAAAUAUUCUUUUUUUAGGCCUAAAUUAAAGGUGGUAUUUACUAUGCACACUACACAAAUUUGUGCACCAUGCACAAAUUUAUGUAUUGAUGCCAGUCUGUUAGAAACCUGCUGAAUUAAAAAAACAAAAAAAUUUAAAAAAUAUUUUAAUUGCAAAUAAUGGUUAGCUGCUAACUCACCUCUCGUUUGUGGUGAAAGAGAAAUACACCUCCUUUCAAUUCAUUUGUUUCACUCAACAAUGCAAGAUUCAAGUUCUAUGAAAUUUUCUUAUCUGGAUCUAUUUUCAGCUAUACACUCAAAGCUAGGUUUGAAACAAAACUCUAUGAAAUUCACCCAAAAUUUUCUGCUGGAGUUUCAAGCUUUAUAUUCAGUAACACUCAAAGGCCAAAGCUCUACGAGAUUUUCUACUUCAAUAAUACUCAAUAGCCGCAAAUUCGUCAUGAAUAUGUCGUACUCUUAACAACUUCAAUGCGCCGUUCUGCCGGUAGCGUCAUCGUAUAAAUAUCGCGCAGAUCUAAUUCUCAAAACUCAAAACCAAUUGAAGUUGCUAAACGCAUCAUCAAGAAGCUUCAAAAGAUCCAUUGAUUUUGCUUCAAUCAUAAUCAAUCGAUUAAUUCUGUGUGUGAACUUAACAAACUAUAUUCUUUUUUUAUUUUUAUUUUAAAUAUGUUUUGGAUUUGGACAAAGGUUUGAAGUUUUUUCUUUGUAUGAUUUAUGGGUUUUAAUUUUUUGAAUAAAAUGUUUGUGUUUCUGGGCAACAAGUUCAUCUUCAUGAAGAUGAAAAAGUAAACUAAGUUAAUGAAAAUGUUUCUGGGCAAAACAUCGGCACACAUUCUAACAUUAGAACCCAACAAAAAUAUUAUAAAUUAAUGUUAUUGUGGGGUAAUGUCUCGGUUUCUGUGUUUAAAGGAAAAAGAAUCUAGCAGGUUGCCAGUCAAACAUCCUGACCGUCUAAUUAGAUUUAAUAUAUAUCAAUGGCUGGUAUUGAUUCAUGACAAUCUUUGUGAAUCAUGCACAAAUUUGUGCAGUGUGCAUAGUAAAUGCCACCUAAAUUAAAAGGUUUAGAUCACCUUAUGUUUGGAUUCAUCUUAAUUUUAACCGGUGCAUAUUCAUAUGUUUUUUCACGUGUGUUAGUGCGUCUCGUUGUAGAAUCACAUAAGAAAGUUAAAAAAAAUAAAUUUGGAAAAAAUAGUUUUAAUUCAUGAUUUUAUUAAAUUCAACGAUUAAGAAUUUUCACAUCCAUAAAAAAUCAAGUCUACUCAAAAUCAAUUUUAUUUAUCAAUAAGAUUUUGCCAUUUAUUCAAACACAAGAAGUGUUUUCAAGUCUAUUGAACUUUGUUUUUUCUGUCGGAAUCAUUUUAUAACGCACAAAAAUCUAAAUGUAAUCGUGAGUGUAUAAUUAUUUGUGCGAUAAUGGAAACCAAAAAUACCAAUGACACACUCGUUUAGAAAUUCCUUCAAAAAUUGUACCCAGAACAAAUUACUUAAAAAAAAAAAAAUCAUUUUUUAGAAAUAGUCAAUAAUAUAAUUAUUUGUUAGGUUAAUAAAUUUUCACCUUUAUAAACCUUAAAUCAAGCGUACCCGUGAGCUUAACUUAGUUGACAAUGACAGUACAUAAUAUUUUUGCAGAGUAAAGGUUCGAACCCCAAACAUCUCACUUAUUCAUCUUAAAGUUGAAUUUCUAACUGCUAGAUGACUUGACAAAAGAAAAUCUCAAAUGAGACAAACUAUCAAACCUAAUAAUAUUCAUAGCUCAUAUAUCCAAAUUCUACGUGAACAAAUAAACAAUAUAUUAAUUUCUUCCUAUUUAAAACAAAUAAAUAAAUAAAUACUAUAACUCUUUCCUCCGACGACGACGACGAUUUUAUUUUUGGAUUCAAUCUCCUUGACGAUCUUUUCGUUAAAAUCAUUUUAACUUUUGUGCAGUCUACUAUAAAAAUGCUUCACGAUCUUUAAUUUGGGUUUUCGAUUAACUAAUAAAGAUUAAAUCAUUAUUAAAGAUAUAUUAAAUUCCAAACCAUACAAUAUCAAAAUUUGCGAGAAAAAAAAUUUGAAUUUGAAUUUUUUUUUUUUGGUGAAAGAUCUUUGAAUUUUAUUGUAUGAAUUAAAAACAAAUGUUUAUAUAUAUAUAUGGUGGUGUUGGCUUGAGAAUCUGGAUAACGUUCUUCACAAAGUCACAGUUCAAUUCUCCUAAUGUUAAUUUUGGUGGACUAAUUUAACUUAAAAAAAACGUUUGUAUAUAUGUAUUGAUGGAAAACAAAUUAUUUUUUUGGUACAAGGAAAACAAUAUUUAAUCCUUAAUAAAAUGGAUGAAUUGAUCAAUAUACCAAAUAUAAUAUCUUAAAUUUAUUCAUAUAUUUGGUAUAGAUGAAAGAGAGGAUAGAUAAGAUGCAAAAGAAUAAAGUUUUUCUAAUUUGAUUCGAGGAUAACUGGAUAAGAGAGACAAAAAAAAAAUGGGUACCACUAUUCUUAUAAUCUUCCCUCCCGUGACGAAAUAUGAGAGAAAAUGACUUGUGUGGAAAAAAUCUUAUGUGGUAGUCACUUAUCUCACCCUAUAUAUAUAUAUAUAUAUAUAUAUAUAUAUAUCACUUAUUGUAUGUUUGGAUCACUCUUUAUACACCUUAGAACAUUUUUUUACACGUAAUGUAACUCACAACUUUAAAUUAACUUUCUGCGUAAAUAAUCUUAAUGGUAGUUAGUGUAGUUACUUUCUACGCAAGUAAUCUUAAUGAAAGGAGAUUUUUUUUUUGUUCUUCAGUUUUAUGUCUUUCAAUAUUCUCGCACAAGCUGGAGCAUGAUAGAUGUUUAUCAUGCCCAACUUGGACACAAAAGAAUGAAACUUGGGUGAUGCUAGCUGUUUAGUGAGGAAACGUGCAAUUUUCUCAUUUGUUGAGAUUGGUAGUAAUCAAAGUAUUCUUUUUUGAAUAUUUAUGCUAACCAAGCGACAAUCGAUUUUUAAAUGCUCAGUUCUUUCAUGGAACACUGAAUUUGAAGCUAUAUGUAUUGCACUCUGACUUUCACAAUAGAGAACCGGUGGUCGUGCACAAGCAACAUCAAAUCAUGCAACAAGUAUAAAAGUCAUUGUAGCUCACAUGUGACUAAUGAUAAUGCUCUAUAUUUUGCUUCCGAAGAAAAGAGAGAUAUAGUUUGAUGUUUCUUAGCACGCCAAGAGAUCAAUGAUGAUCCUAAGAAGAAUAUAAGUAAGCAUUUUUUGUAUGCGAAACAGAUAUCUUCCGCAGCUCGUGUACAAUUGUAGAUAGUAAACUCUUGAGUCGGAUAAAAUCACAAUGGGUACAUAACUCCCCCAAAUACAAGUUAACAUUAUAAGAUGAAAACAUAUUACAAGUCUCUUUUAAUCACUUCCCAAAUUACAAAUGAAACCAUUAUCAAUUGAUCUAGAAAUAAUACAAACUUUGAGGCAUGCAAAUAACAUAACUAAUUGUCAAUAGUACAUAUAUCCUAUGGUUUUCUUUUCCUAGGAAAAAGGCAAAGAUCAAUUUUCUUAUGCAUAGUUAUUCCUGGUUUCACUUUUGUAUCCAACACUUGUUCCUUGUCAAAACCAUGAGGCAACUUCCAAUCAAAAGAGUGAAGAAGAUUAGCAAGUGUAAGCUCAACAGUGACCACUCCCAUGUUCAUUGCAGGACACAUUCUUCUUCCACUUCCAAAUGGAAUUAGCUCAAAAUUUUUCCCUUUAAAGUCCACUGAACUCAUAAUGAACCUUUCAGGAUAAAACUCUUCAGGGUCUUUCCAAUUCUCAGGAUCCCUUCCUAUGGCCCAUGCAUUAACAUACACUAAAGUUUUUGGUUUAAUCUCAUAACCAUCUAUGUUACAAUUUUCUAUUGUUUCUCUUGGUACUAGUAAUGGUGAUGGUGGAAAUAAUCUCAUUGUCUCUUUCACCACUGCUUUAAGAUAAGGUAGCUUUUCAAUAUCAUCUUCAUUUAUAAAAUAUUUGUCUUCAUAUAAGUUUCUGAUUUCCAUUUGAACCUUGUUCAUCACUCUAGGAUUGUUCAUCAAUGUUGUCAUAGCCCAAACCACUAUUGCUGAACUUGUGUCUGUUCCUGCUAUAAAAAUGUUCUGCAUAUAUAAUAUGCAUGUCGUUAAUUAACCACAUAAACUUAAAUAUUAAUCACAAUAUUAUCUUGUUUAAUGAAAUAGAAGAUGAAGAAGGAUGAAUUAAAAUUAUCCAUAAAUUUUUCAAUUAUUUUCUAAUUGAGUAUUACAAAUAUACAACAAAGCAUAUAAAGAUAGUUUUGCUUGGUGAUGACACUUUGUCAUUACAUAAUUUUUAGUGUAAAGGCAUGAUAUUUUGAGUUCACAAGUAAGCUUAAACAACAAGAAAAACUGAAGAAAGUGAUGAAAGUGAAAUCGUGACACGGUUGCUGAAAAACGCGUCACGAUUUAGAGCACAGAAUGAGGUGCAUUCGACAUUGCUGGAAUCGGGACAAGAUAGCAUAAACAUGUCACGAUUUGAAGAGUAAAAAUCUGACCCAUGGGCUUAGUAAGAAGGAAUCGGGACACGAUUAGGCACGUCCUUGUGCCUAUUCAAGCUUAAGCUAGUGCAGAAAAUAAGGGUUGCGAAUUAUGGAGAGAGAAAGUGCAAUUUGCAGACCUGAAGACUGAAGAAAGGGGCGAUUUCCUUCGUUCUUUACUAGUUUAUGUAUGUUUUAAUUCUUUCAUUGAUUAUGCUAUUUGUAAACUCAAUUAUGAGUAGUUAAAUCUCUUAGAGAUUAGGUGUGAGAUGAUUCUGAUGUAACCCUAAUUUAAACAUGUUGAUGUGAAACUCUAUUUCUUAUGAAUAUCAAUCUAGUUUUAUUCAAUUCAAUUGUUCUUAGUGCUUUUUAUAUGCUGAUCACAUAUAUACAUGAAUUCGUGAGAAUGAAUGACUAUUGAUCAUAACUUUCAACUUAGACCUGAUUGAAUUGUUCAAAUAAACAGGGUCAGUCUAGGAAUAGAUAAUCGUUUAUUUGUAAUAAGAGGUUAACGUUCUUAAAACCUUCAAAGAAUAUUAGAUCACCUAAGGAAUUAUGGACUGUAAUCUGAGAAGAGGGUCCUAAGUCAAGGUAUUGAUUAGGGUUAUUUUAGUUAAUCAUCGUGAAACUAGAGAAAUAUUCAUAGGAAGUAGGUGCAGUGUACCAAUUAUGGGAAUUUAGAGAAUUCGAAAGACCUAGUCUAAUCUCUCUCUAUCUUUUCUAAACAACUUUAUUUUCUGAUAUUUACUUUUUAUGCACAACAAACCUACCACCUCGGGUACUAAAAUAAAUUUACACAUCCUAUUUCAUAACACUAUUGUUUAAUUGAGAUUAACACGGUCCUUGUAGAAACAAACUUUAUUAUAUUACUUUGAUAGUUUUUAGUACACUUGCUAAAUUUCUAUCACUUGGUAUCGAUAGCCAACCACCUAAGAAUUUACCAAAACAUAAUACUAAUAAGCUAAUCAACUAUUUUUGAAGUAUUCUAUUUUUGAAACAUGUCGUUCAUCCUUGUGCAAGAAAUCAAAGGAGGGUUAAAAAAACCUAAAUUUCAUGGAUGAUUUAGUUAAAAAAUUUAGGAACAAAAAUACCAAUAAGGAUGAGUCAAUACCAUAAGCACAGCUUUGAUGUGGUCAAGAGUGAGAUCAAAAGAGAGUGAGUGAUCAUUCAUCAUCUGCAAUAAGAUAUCAAUAAUAUCAUCUACUUCUUGUUCCUUAGUUUUAGGCCUUGCUGAAUUAUCCAUGUGGUCAUCAAUAACUCUUUGGUAUAUCAAAUCCAACUCCUUGAAUGUUUUAUCAAGCCUCCCAAGAGUUCCUUUGACUCUAUCAAUCCAACCCAACAAUGGAAAAUUAUCUGAAAAGUAAAAUUCAGCCAACAAAGCUUGAGCUUCAUUAAGCAAAACUUGCAAUCUACUUCUCUUUUGUCCACUUCCCAAUUCAACUUCUUCUUCAUAAUCACAAACAUAUGUUUUUCCAAAAGCUAUCUUACAUAUAAUUGUAUUUGUGAGAGACAUCAAUAUUUCACUCAAGUUCGCACCUUUUUCAUCACCACCAUAUUGCGACAACUUUUGAAUCAAUUGGGCCACUUCAUUUUCUCUAACGGGCCUAAAAGAAUGGACACGUUGAGAGCUAAAGAGAUGUUGAACACAAAGUUUUCUCAUCUCUCUCCAAUAAGGACUAUAAGGUGCAAAAGCAAGAUCUAAACCAUUGUAAGACAAUUUUCUUAGUCCUAGGAAAGAUGGUCUACUUGCAAAUUUAAGGUCAUGGGUUUUCAACACUUGUUCUGCCAUUUUUGCUGAGGAAACAAUUAAGGUUGGUAUGUAACCAAGUUGCAAAGACAUGAUAGGUCCAUAGUGUUUGGAAAGUUUCCAUAAGGAGUGAUGUGGGGAUGAAGGGUCAAGCUGGUGUAGAUUUCCAAUUAGAGGAAGUGGUUUUGGACCUGGUGG